Molecule: ribosomal RNA, 292 nt
Filed under: uncultured prokaryote
Description: partial 16S ribosomal RNA
Rfam family: Archaeal small subunit ribosomal RNA
Source: RNAcentral
GUGCCAGCAGCCGCGGUAAUACCGGCAGCUCGAGUGAUGUCCAAUAUUAUUGGGCCUAAAGCGUCCGUAGCUGGCCAGCCAAGUUCGUCGGGAAAUCCACCUGCUCAACAGGUGGGCGUCCGGCGAAAACUGUCUGGCUUGGAACCGGAAGGCUCAGAGGGUACGUCGAGGGUAGGAGUGAAAUCCCGUAAUCCUCGACGGACCACCGAUGGCGAAAGCACUCUGAGAAGACGGCUUCGACAGUGAGGGACGAAAGCUAGGGUCUCAAACCGGAUUAGAAACCCCAGUAGUC